This 498-nucleotide ribosomal RNA is filed under the name uncultured bacterium. RNAcentral describes it as "partial 16S ribosomal RNA". It matches the Rfam family "Bacterial small subunit ribosomal RNA", at positions 899 to 1397 of the family's 1533-position model. The record is from RNAcentral.
ACUCAAAUGAAUUGACGGGGGCCCGCACAAGCGGAGGAACAUGUGGUUUAAUUCGAUGAUACGCGAGGAACCUUACCUGGGCUUAAAUGUAGAGUGCAUGAGGUAGAAAUACUUCUUUCCUUCGGGACUCUUUGCAAGGUGCUGCAUGGUUGUCGUCAGCUCGUGCCGUGAGGUGUCGGGUUAAGUCCCAUAACGAGCGCAACCCUUAUCGUUAGUUGCCAGCGGGUAAUGCCGGGAACUCUAACGAAACUGCCGGUGUAAACCGUGAGGAAGGUGGGGAUGACGUCAAAUCAGCACGGCCCUUAUGUCCAGGGCUACACACGUGUUACAAUGGCCGGUACAGAGGGCAGCUACCUGGAGACAGGAUGCGAAUCUCCAAAGCCGGUCUCAGUUCGGAUCGGAGUCUGCAACUCGACUCCGUGAAGCUGGAUUCGCUAGUAAUCGCGCAUCAGCCAUGGCGCGGUGAAUACGUUCCCGGGCCUUGUACACACCGCCCGU